This 254-nucleotide ribosomal RNA is filed under the name uncultured bacterium. RNAcentral describes it as "partial 16S ribosomal RNA". It matches the Rfam family "Bacterial small subunit ribosomal RNA", at positions 524 to 776 of the family's 1533-position model. The record is from RNAcentral.
UACGUAGGGUGCGAGCGUUAAUCGGAAUUACUGGGCGUAAAGCGUGCGCAGGCGGUUUUGUAAGCCAGGUGUGAAAUCCCCGGGCUCAACCUGGGAAUGGCAUUUGGGACUGCAAGGCUGGAGUGCGGCAGAGGAGACUGGAAUUCCUGGUGUAGCAGUGAAAUGCGUAGAUAUCAGGAGGAACACCGAUGGCGAAGGCAGGUCCUGCUGGCUGACACUGACGCUCAUGCACGAAAGCGUGGGGAGCAAACAGG